GAUGAACGCUGGCGGCGUGCUUAACACAUGCAAGUCGAGCGGGCAAUUUAUCUAGCACUGAUUACUUCAAAUGGAAAUCAUAAGUGUAAUCAUGAAUUUCUACCUUUAAUAAAGAAAAAAGAAAUUCAUGUACGCAAAUAGUGAUAACACAUUUUAGUGAAGUGAUGAGUGCUGGAUAAAUUGCUAGCGGCGGACGGGUGCGUAACACGUGGGUAACCUGCCCCUAUCACUGGGGAUAACACACUGAAAAGUGUGCUAAUACCAGAUAAUAUAAGCUUUUGGCAUCAUUAGCUUAUCAAAGAAUUUCGGAUAGGGAUGGGCCCGCGUCUGAUUAGCUAGUUGGUGAGGUAACGGCUCACCAAGGCAACGAUCAGUAGCCGACCUGAGAGGGUGAUCGGCCACACUGGAACUGAGACACGGUCCAGACUCCUACGGGAGGCAGCAGUGGGGAAUAUUGCACAAU
RNAcentral lists this ribosomal RNA (463 nucleotides) under uncultured bacterium. RNAcentral describes it as "bacterial SSU rRNA". It matches the Rfam family "Bacterial small subunit ribosomal RNA", at positions 28 to 372 of the family's 1533-position model. The record is from RNAcentral.